Molecule: unclassified non-coding RNA, 329 nt
Filed under: soil metagenome
Description: partial contains 5.8S ribosomal RNA, internal transcribed spacer 2, and large subunit ribosomal RNA
Rfam family: 5.8S ribosomal RNA (bases 1-120)
Source: RNAcentral
GAUGAAGAACGUAGCGAAAUGCGAUAAGUAAUGUGAAUUGCAGAAUUCAGUGAAUCAUCGAAUCUUUGAACGCACAUUGCGCCCCUUGGUAUUCCGAGGGGCAAGCCUGUUCGAGCGUCAUUAUAACCCCUCAAGCUCAGCUUGGUGUUGGGGCCUGCUGCACUGGCAGCCCUUAAAAUCAGUGGCGGCGCCAUCUGGCUCUAAGCGUAGUAAUUCUUCUCGCUAUGGAGUCCUGGUGGAUGCUUGCCAUCAACCCCCAAUUUUUCUAUGGUUGACCUCGGAUCAGGUAGGGAUACCCGCUGAACUUAAGCAUAUCAAUAAGCGGAGGA